GGGCCAUUAGCUCAGCUGGUCCAGAGCUACCGGCUCAUAACCGGUUGGUCCGGGGUUCGAAUCCCUGAUGGCCCA
Molecule: transfer RNA, 75 nt
Filed under: Bacillota bacterium
Lineage: Bacteria; Bacillati; Bacillota
Also listed under: 1 other name
Description: tRNA-Ile
Rfam family: tRNA
About the family: Transfer RNA (tRNA) molecules are approximately 80 nucleotides in length. Their secondary structure includes four short double-helical elements and three loops (D, anti-codon, and T loops).
Source: RNAcentral